UACAGAGGGUGCGAGCGUUAAUCGGAAUUACUGGGCGUAAAGCGCGCGUAGGCGGCUUUGCAAGUCGGGUGUGAAAUCCCCAGGCUUAACCUGGGAACUGCAUUCGAGACUGCAUUGCUAGAGUAUGGGAGAGGGAAGUGGAAUUUCCGGUGUAGCGGUGAAAUGCGUAGAUAUCGGAAGGAACACCUGUGGUGUAGACGGCUUACUGGACCAUGACUGACGCUGAGGCACGAAAGCGUGGGGAGCAAACAGG
This 253-nucleotide ribosomal RNA is filed under the name uncultured bacterium. RNAcentral describes it as "partial 16S ribosomal RNA". It matches the Rfam family "Bacterial small subunit ribosomal RNA", at positions 524 to 776 of the family's 1533-position model. The record is from RNAcentral.